GGUGGAGAUGCUGGAAAAAACUCCAUCAGGAGAAAAAAACUUACCCUGGUGACGUCCCUCCAGAAAUGGAUCCUUCUCCUUCAAGUACAGAAGAUGAGUUUCUACCCAAGCGAUACUCCAACAGGCGGCUGUUGUAGACUGCAAAACCCAUCAAAAGGUAAAGAUCCUGUUUUCAGAGGAAACCGAAGAACGGAUCAAGCAACAACAUGGAUAGCUCUAAUGGACUCAGAAGAGGCUUCCUUCAAGCAGUUGUGUUGGUUUCCAUACAUGCAACCAUCGCUGGAAGUCCAUUUUAAUAUCCAAAAUCUGGAUAGCUGGAGAACAUUUAAACUAAACUGUCUGGUGGAUUCAUUUUGAUAGAUCCUGCUUUUUAGACUGCUUUUUAAUCUUUUCAAGGCAAUUUGCUUCGGCCACAACUUGGGCGAGGAGUGAAAAAAAGGUCUGUGUGUAUAUGGAAUCUUAUAUUUUAUUGUGGGGUAGGCAGUCCAAUAGCCAGACAUUGCAAGAUCCAUUACAUCAAGGACCUGUAUACAGGUCAAAAAGAGAGCUGAGAAAAUCUCUACCUAUCCCUCAUAUCCUGGACAUGAACUGUUUCAACUCCUCCCCUCAGGAUUUAUUUAUUUAUUUAUUUAUUUGUUUGUUUGUUUGUUUGUGUGUUUGUUUAGUUAGUCAAGCAUGUAUUAGAUAACAGAUAUAAGUAUAAACAUGAUUAUUAAUACAUGAAAUGGGUAAGAAUAAAAGGAGACAUUAGGACAGGGGUGGUAGGCACAUUGGUGCUCUUAUGCACGCCCCUUACAGACCGCUUAGGAGUGGGAUGAGAUCAACAGUAGACAGUCUAAGGUUAAAGUUUUGGGAGUUUGGGGCAGUGAUGGGUUGCCCCUAGUUUGGACCGGUUCUAUAGAACCGAUAAUAAAACCGGUGGGAGGCUCCGCCCACUGACCUGGAUGUCAUCAUAAGUGGUCUGCACAAAAGCGAGCAUGGGCAGACGGGCACGAUACAAAUCGGUAGUAAAGGUAAGUAGAACCCACCCCUGGUUUGGGGAAGAAACCAGAGUUAGGUAGUGAAUUCCAAGCAUUGACUACUCUGUUGCUGAAGUCGUAUUUCCUGCAAUCAAGUUUGGUGUGGUUUCAUGUAUUGUUUUGGUUUUAUGGUUUUAUGGUUUUAUUUGAUUUGUAUACCGCCCUACUCCCGAAGGACUCAGGGCGGUGAACAGCCAACAAUAAAAUACAUAAAUACACAAAAUUUAAAAACCCGAUAAAAUCAAAUUAAACUUUUUGGCCCAGACAAAUUAAAAUACCCCAAUAAUUUAAAAACAGAUUGAAAUUUACAUAUUUUAAAAAGGGAAGAGAUCAGGCCAAGCCCGCUUGAUGGAAUAAAAAGGUCUUCCCAGCACGGCGGAAGGAACGCAGAUCCGGGAUCCUCCAUAUCUCCGGGGGGAGCUCAUUCCAGAUGGUAGGUGCCCCCACAGAGAAGGCUCUCCCCCUAGGGGCUGCCAGUCGACACUGUUUGGCUGACGGCACCCUGAGGAGUCCCUCUCUAUGAGAGCGUACUGGCCGGUGGGAGGCUAUUGGUGGUAGUAAAUGUAUUGUGGUUGAAGCUGAAGUACUUAUUGACAGAUAGGACAUUGCAAUGGAUAAUUUUAUGUACUAUGCUUAGGUCAGACCGAAGGCGGCGUAGUUCUAAGUUGUCUAAGCCCAACAUUUCAAGUCUGGUGACAUAAGGUAUUCUAUUGCGAGCCGAGGAGUGGAGGAAUCCUCUCAUGAAAUAUCUCUGGACUCUCUCAAUUGUAUUAAUGUCUGAUAUGCAGUGCGGGUUCCAGACAGAUGAGCUGCAUUUGAGAAUUGGUCUAGCAAAUGUUUUGUAUGCUUUAAUUAGCAGUACAAUAUUACCAGAAAAGAAGCUACACAAGAUUAGAUUAACAACUCUUAAUGCCUUUUUGGCAAUUUUGUUGCAGUGAACUCUGGCACUUAGAUCAUUAGAGAUUGUUAGGAUGUUGCUAUAGCAGAGGUGGGUUGCUACCAGUUCUCCCCGGUUCUUGCGAACCGGUAGUGGAAAUUUUGAGUAGUUCAGAGAACCAAUAAAUACCACCUCUGCCUGGCCCCGCCCCCAAUCUAUUUGCUGCCUCCUGACUCCCAGCUGAUCAGCUAGAAGGAAAAAAUCAGGGCUCGCUUCUCAGCCAGGAGAUCACUUGGCAAAGAAGAAGGAAAAAAAAAAGAUGCCAUCACUUUAAAUUGACAAGCCAAGAAGCAGCUGCUGGAAGGAGGUUUUUGCUUGCAGAAGCGAAGUGACAUUCAGCAGUUCAUUUCUGGGUCAGCUGAACAACAAACUGGAUAAGAGGAGGUUCUUAUAUGGUUCUAUGUUUUUGAAGUUUUGGGGUUUGUGCAAUAUGGGCUUUGUGUUUCUAAAAAGAUUUGGGCAAUUUCCAUUGUGAAAUAUCCUGCCUUGAAUGAGUUUUCUGCCUGCUUGUAAAUGGAGCCAAACUUCUGGCUUCCACUUUCUAUUAACUCUAAGCACUGGUAGCUGUUUUCUUCUUACAAAGUUUCCUUUAUGCAGCUGGCAGGAAUAUGGAAUGAAAAGCAUCUGUGGUAUGUAAUUUCAGUUAGGGAAAUCAAUCAGCUCCAUCAGUUCUCCUUCCCACCUGCUCAUGGCAACUUGAAACCUCUGCAAGUUGACACCAAGUACUAAAUAAACAUCUGUGCCAAUACAAGGGGGAGGGCUUUCUUCACAGCUUUACAAGUUUUGGUUUGGGGAAGUUAUAGAAAAAAUAGAUACAUUAUUUUUUUGUAGUUAAAUUGUAUAAUGUUUUUAUUUAAACAGGAAAAUGAAGUUGGGGGGGAGCACCAUGUCUACUUUUGUUAAAGUAUAGGUACUUUACUUUCGACCCUAACUGAGCCCAAAAUUUAUAUUGCUAAGCGAGGCAGUUGUUAAGUGAAUUCUGCCCUAUUUUAUGGCCUUUUUUGCCACAAUUGUUAAGUGAAUCUCUGCAAUUGUUAAGCUAGUAACGUGGUUGUUAAGUGAAUAUGGCUUCCCCAUUGAUUUUGCUUGUCAGAAGGUCAAUAGAGGUUGAUCAUAUGACUGUGGGACUUUUAUAGAUCAUUACAGCCACAAGGGCAUUUAUUAUUAGUAUGCCUUUUGAGCAUAGCAAGUAUUUAUUAAAAGUAGCAGCUUUGUUAAGAUA
Pantherophis guttatus is the source of this 3178-nucleotide non-coding RNA. The record is from RefSeq and is a predicted model, not a curated record. Lineage: Eukaryota; Metazoa; Chordata; Lepidosauria; Squamata; Colubridae.